GGGGAAUUUUCCGCAAUGGGCGCAAGCCUGACGGAGCAACGCCGCGUGAGGGAUGAAGGCCUCUGGGCUGUAAACCUCUUUUCUCAAGGAAGAAGAUCUGACGGUACUUGAGGAAUAAGCCACGGCUAAUUCCGUGCCAGCAGCCGCGGUAAUACGGGAGUGGCAAGCGUUAUCCGGAAUUAUUGGGCGUAAAGCGUCCGCAGGCGGCCUUGAAAGUCUGUUGUUAAAGCGUGGAGCUUAACUCCAUUUCAGCAAUGGAAACUACAAGGCUAGAGUGUGGUAGGGGCAGAGGGAAUUCCCGGUGUAGCGGUGAAAUGCGUAGAUAUCGGGAAGAACACCAGUGGCGAAGGCGCUCUGCUGGGCCAUAACUGACGCUCAUGGACGAAAGCCAGGGGAGCGAAAGGGAUUAGAUACCCCUGUAGUC
RNAcentral lists this ribosomal RNA (424 nucleotides) under uncultured cyanobacterium. RNAcentral describes it as "bacterial SSU rRNA". It matches the Rfam family "Bacterial small subunit ribosomal RNA", at positions 356 to 795 of the family's 1533-position model. Lineage: Bacteria; Bacillati; Cyanobacteriota. The record is from RNAcentral.